Long non-coding RNA from Oncorhynchus tshawytscha (Chinook salmon), 574 nucleotides. The record is from Ensembl. NCBI's taxonomy places the organism in Eukaryota, Metazoa, Chordata, Actinopteri, Salmoniformes, Salmonidae.
CUGCUACAAGGUUUACCAACACUUGAAGUUUAAUAUGUCAAAUGUUUCUACAAGAUAAUAACCACUAGCAUCACAUGAUCACUAACCACCACAUGUUCAGACUCACCUCAGCUGUGAGAUGUAGGACAGACACUGAAGGAAACUCCUCACUUCACUCUCUUCAUCUGACCAGCCCUUCAGCUCUACUGGUUUCUUCUCUGGUUGGAGUUUCAGCACUUCUAGGAGGAGGGAGGCCUUUCUCUCUGAGAGGUCUAUGGACCAGACUGCAGGAGCUGACUGGUAAAGUGGCUGCAAUGAUGGAAGGACACUCCUGGCUGUUUGAUUCCUAUUGUACUUCACAUGAGAGUACAGAUCCAGCAGGAUGUCAUAUCUCUCAGUUUGAUACACAGAGAACAGUGACAGCAGUGUGUUCACAGUUCUCUGGAAUGUUUCUCUGUGAUCUAGUGCUGCUUGUAGACACAAAUCUAGUAGGACUGCUUUCUCUUCUGUCUCCAGUCUUUCAGGGGAUCCUCUCUGAUGUUGUAGAGGAGUAAACCUGUGACCCAUAAAACACAAGAAUGUCUAUGUUCAGAAG